Long non-coding RNA from Oncorhynchus tshawytscha (Chinook salmon), 2063 nucleotides. The record is from Ensembl. Lineage: Eukaryota; Metazoa; Chordata; Actinopteri; Salmoniformes; Salmonidae.
CAAUCAUUUAUAGUCCAUGGACCCUGAAUAAAUCCCCUGUGUGAUCUGAAGAGCGUGUAAAUGAUGCAUGUGAUGUCCCCUAGCAGCUGAGUGACUGUCACCGGGGUGUUGUGAUGGACGGGAUGGAGACGCUGUACUGCCGCUCCCCCAGCAGCAUCCUAUAGAUCAUCAAGGCUUCAUCUACAUGGUCAACCUCUCAAUCAACUACUACGUCUUCAAAGCCAAGGAGAGGGCACAGAGAGAGGCAGAGGGUGAGGACAAACUAGUCCAAAGGAGACUGCGCCCCAUAUAAACCUCUCUGUUAUUGGGAGGGGACUAUCCUAGUGGAACAGAGACCCUGAAAAGCAACAUACUUGAAGAGUCUCUUGAAGAGGGUUUGGACUCAAAAGCCCUCCUAUCCCCUCCUCCACUAUGUCCUCUGUCAUACUCUACACUAAGAACAGGCCUGUGUCCAGUGCACAGCAGAUCACUAGUUCCUUCCCCUUCAUGGUGUCCUCAGCCCCAAAGGAAGCUUAAGGCUCGGUCAAGGAAGAGGCGUUGACCUCUACUGAAGGACGGGGGGAAGAAGGCAGACACGGGCAGAGAGAGUCAGAAAGACAAGAGACCCACCAUAGCCAAAAAGGGGUCCAGGAGCCAAUGACUCCCGCUCCCCUCCUCUAAAGGCUGUGACUCGCUUAUUUGACACUGAGCAGUGCCAACAGGAGUCCCAACAGGAGUCCCAACAGGAGUCCCAACAGGAGUCCCAACAGGAGUCCCAACAGGAGUCCCAACAGGAGUGCAAACUACAUAAGAAUACACAAGAAUAAACACUGAUGUGCAUGAAUGUGACUUAAAGGUUUGUGUUGUUUUCUAUAGGCUCACCACAUUCCACUGGAAUGUCCCGCCCUAUGGAGAGGCGACCCUGAAGAUCUGGUUCCACUCCCAAGUCCCUGUCAAGUUUGACAAAACACUGAAUUUUGAGUUGUUGGGUACCAAGAUAUGUUUCAAAAUGUACUGUGGGGGAAUCUAUACAUAUCUAUCCAUCAGCAGAAACACAAAGAUGGUAUUUGCCCACAGGAAGAGAGUCCUUUGCUGAAGCGUUGCAGAAGAGCUACAUCAUCCGCUCUGUCCUCUAUGAGUUUGGCCCACUGCUCUGUGGCAAGACCACAGAUAGGUAUAUAGAGGAAGUAUCCAGAGAACAUGGAAAGGUUGGUGAUACACAACAACACCCCACUGGAUGCUGAGAUUCACUUCUUCUUCCAGCAUGACACCAAGGCUGCCACCUACCAACUGGACCCUCCCAACAUGACCCUUAAACCCAACGAGAGACAAGAAGCCAAUCAGAACUACUCAUGACAUCAUAGAAUGUAGUCUGAGAUGUCGGAUUAGUCAGAACCCUGACUGUGUGACACAAACUUACCUAGAAGUUAUGACUGUUCACUGAUAUUAUCAGUGAACAUUCUCACGCCCAUUUACUUUUGUUCUCGUUUUGAAACUCCAAUGAUCCAUGGUUGUGCCCUGGCAGAUAGAAGACAGUGUGGUGUAUCAAAGAGAACCCAGAGCCAGCAUUUCUGUUGUGGGGUCCAUCCCGAGCUUGAAUGCAAGCAGCUGCAUUUUGAAAAUAAUUCAUUAACAUUACCCAGAACUGCUGUAUCGUUUUUAAACCUGCUUCAGUAACAAAGUAGGAGAUUUGUUUUUGUCAUGGUAGUUUUCUGUUGAUUUUCCUUUCGCCACUCUACUACAUUCUCCCUGUGCUGGUUGUGAACCUCAGGAAGAACACAAGGAGUCUGUACCUGCGUAACAACACGCUGCUGCCUGUAGCCUGGAGGCUAGAGGUGCUGGGGGAUGAGUUCAGUGUUUCCCAGGACCAGGGCAUCAUACUUAGGGAUCCUUGGGGUGUCCCUACCCAAACCCCUAACCCUAAACUUAACCCCUACCCUUAUUCAAACCAUAACCUUAACCAUAACCCUGACCUACCCCUAACCUUAAUUCUUACCUUAACCAUUUUAAAUUUCAACUUCAAAGGGGUAGAGAAGCCCCAAGGAUCCCGGAUAGCAUGGACCCUUGUCUCAAGCCAGAUUGCG